CAGCCGCCGCGGUAAUACGAAGGGUGCAAGCGUUAAUCGGAAUUACUGGGCGUAAAGCGUGCGUAGGCGGUUUGUUAAGUCUGUUGUGAAAUCCCCGGGCUCAACCUGGGAAUGGCAAUGGAUACUGGCAAGCUAGAGUGUGUCAGAGGAUGGUGAAAUUCCCGGUGUAGCGGUGAAAUGCGUAGAGAUCGGGAGGAACAUCAGUGGCGAAGGCGGCCAUCUGGGACAACACUGACGCUGAGGCACGAAAGCGUGGGGAGCAAACAGGAUUAGAUACCCCUGUAGUCCCUGUCUCUUAUAC
RNAcentral lists this ribosomal RNA (301 nucleotides) under uncultured bacterium. Its description in RNAcentral is "partial 16S ribosomal RNA". It matches the Rfam family "Bacterial small subunit ribosomal RNA", at positions 509 to 807 of the family's 1533-position model. The record is from RNAcentral.